This 583-nucleotide ribosomal RNA is filed under the name uncultured archaeon. Its description in RNAcentral is "bacterial SSU rRNA". It matches the Rfam family "Archaeal small subunit ribosomal RNA", at positions 102 to 685 of the family's 1478-position model. The record is from RNAcentral.
GGAUAACCUACCCUUAGGACUGGGAUAGCCCUGGGAAACUGGGGCUAAUACCGGAUAGGCAAUUUUUCCUGGAAUGGUUUUUUGUUUAAAUGUUUUUUCGCCUAAGGAUGGGUCUGCGGCCGAUUAGGUAGUUGGUUAGGUAAUGGCUUACCAAGCCGUUGAUCGGUACGGGUUGUGAGAGCAAGAGCCCGGAGAUGGAACCUGAGACAAGGUUCCAGGCCCUACGGGGUGCAGCAGGCGCGAAACCUCCGCAAUGUGAGAAAUCGCGACGGGGGGAUCCCAAGUGCCAUUCUUAACGGGAUGGCUUUUCAUUAGUGUAAAGAGCUUUUGGAAUAAGAGCUGGGCAAGACCGGUGCCAGCCGCCGCGGUAACACCGGCAGCUCUAGUGGUAACAAUUUUUAUUGGGCCUAAAGCGUCCGUAGCCGGUUUAAUAAGUCUCUGGUGAAAUCCUGUAGCUUAACUGUGGGAAUUGCUGGAGAUACUAUUAGACUUGAGACCGGGAGAGGUUAGAGGUACUCCCAGGGUAGAGGUGAAAUUCUGUAAUCCUGGGAGGACCGCCUGUUGCGAAGGCGUCUAACUGGAA